Molecule: RNA transcript, 3371 nt
Organism: Raphanus sativus (radish)
Lineage: Eukaryota; Viridiplantae; Streptophyta; Magnoliopsida; Brassicales; Brassicaceae
Gene name: serine/threonine-protein kinase ZRK1-like
Exons: 2
Source: RefSeq, a predicted model, not a curated record
UGUGUGAGAGAGAGUGAGAUGAUUUCUUCGUAACGGAGAGAGGAAAGUGGAAGAAGAAGCGUGCUUUUGUCGGGCCAUUUCAUUGUUGGGCUGAUACCGAUGGUGUUAAAGCCCAACUCGAUAUCAUUUGCAAUUUUAACUAAUUGAAAUUCCAGAUAGUGGACCAAUAACCAAACUAAUAGACUAGGAGGCUUCCAUUUGUUUGUUAAUAUUUUCAUUUUCAUUUUCGCAUUAUUUGGGUGAUGAGACCUUGGAUAAGAAAGAAGGUGAACGAGCAGAGUGAGUGGUUCUCGAAGAAAAACGGCAGCACAUUCUUACAGGAACUCAUCGCUGAUUGUAACAGUAUAUCAAACCCGAUCCGGUUCUUCUCCUCGGAUCAGAUCCUCAAGGUCACGGAUCGGUUCGAUCCAAACCGCUGUAUCUCUCGUCAUAGAUUCUUCACCUGGUACAAGGGCGUCAUCCAAGACUGACCUUACGCGAUCAAGAAAUUCACAGAUUCUUGGUUUUCAGAAGAGAGUGAGCGAGAGAUCUACAACGACAUCAUUUUAGCCGCCCGGGUAAGCAACCAUAGUAGUUUCCUCAAACUCCUGGGAUGUUCUCUCGAGUUUCCACUUCCGGUUAUUGUAUUCGAACACCCAGAGAAUGGAGUUUUGAACGAGCGAGGAGGUUGCGUGGACGGCACGUUACUGCCUUGGGAAGUUAGGCUUAAGAUUGCCAAGGAGGUGGCCGUUGCUGUGACUUAUCUCCACGCGGCUUUCCCUAGGAUUAUUAUUCACAGAGAUAUCAAGACGACGAAUGUUUUCUUGGAUAAGGACUGGAAUGCUAAGCUGACUGAUUUCACGUUUUCAGUAUCACUCCCUGAAGGGAAGUCGUGGAUUAGAGAUAAAGUGGUGGGAACUUCCGGUUACAUAGAUCCGGUUUACUUCUCCAGGGGUUUAGUGACGGAGUACACAGACGUGUUCAGUUUUGGAAUCUUUAUGUUGGUUCUUUUGUUGGGGAAACCGGCGGUUUUCCGUGGAUCAAGUGGGUUUCAUUGUAAUAUUCUUCAUUAUGUGAAGGAUCUGCAGGAGAGAGGAGAACCUGUUGAAUUUGGGGGUGGUUCAAACGACAUGGUGACCGGUCAGAUGAAAACGUUUCUCGAUCUGGCACUGAGAGGCUGCCUGGGGAGGAGUGAAGACAGGCCAAAGAUGAUUUUGGUGGCAAAAGAGAUUAAGCUAAUUGAAAAAGGGAUCACUUGAUUGUUUCUGAAGAUGGUCAAAUUUAAGAUUUUGAGAUUAUGCUUAUACUUGGGUUUGUGUACUGCUGGGGUUUCUUUAUCUCAAGGGUUUUGCAUUCUAAAAUAUCUCUCUAUGUUACUGUUUUUUUUUAAUUGAAAAUUGCAUUUUUAAAAUGAGAUAUUGUAUGUUUAAGUUAUCAAAUAUUAAAAGCACUUAUAUUCCUCCAUAGAUAUCCUGCUUGUUAAUUCAAAUUAGAUUAUGCCCCGCACGGAAUUUCUUUUAUUUGUUUUCGUGACGUGUAUAGAUUUAAAAUAAAUAAAAACUUUUAUGGUUAAUUGUGUUUAAAUCUAUUUUAUUGGUAAACUUUUUUGGGGUUGCAGAAGGCUAUAAUGUGGAAUGGACUUGAAUCCACUUCAAGUCAUAGGCAUGCACACCUACAAUUGUCAAAGAUAUGGAGCAGCCACUGUCAUUGAAAUAGAGGAAAUUAGGUCGAAUGUAAACUCAGUCAUCAAUGGGUAGAACACAAGGCUAUGUGGUUUUGGUGGAUGGUUUGAUGUUCACUUCCGGGGUAGGGAAGAAGAUCCUGUGCAGCAAGAAAUCGAGUUAACCACAGCUCCAAGUGAACAGCACUACACGCAUUUUGACAAAGGGACGUACUCCCAAAGUUCUUGUCCUGUGAUAUGGUUAAGGCUUCAAAGUUCAAACUGAAAGGAAUGAAGGGAUGGAGAAGUUGAUGCAAUUCUGGUUCCAAACUAGACUGCAACUCUGAUGAAAUGUGCUUGUCAUUGUGGAUGGAGUAGUAGAAGACUGUCCCCUUGCUAUGUGAUGUCUUACUUUUUUUCUCUAUUAGAGUUUUGUUCCAAUAGGGUUUUCUCUAAUGUGAGUUUUAAGGAGGAAAAUCACAUAGCAUUUCCAAACUUGAUUCUCUAUGGUUGAGUUUGAGGGGAAAUUGAAGCUUGGAGUAGUUUUUUUGGUUGAAGGGUUAGAAGUUGUUUUGGUUUGUUUUUUUUCUUUAUUGCUUGUUGCACAAGUAAACAGGAAACAUUUGUUGUAAAAUGCCUUUUUGAUGAAUAAAAUUUAACAUUCAUUCAAAAAAAAAGACAUAUGUUGUCUGAAUUUGGCAGAUUUUCAUUAUGUAUAUUUAUAUUUUACCUUAAGAUUUAGAUUCUUUAGGAAAUGGGAAAUUCCUCUUAUGCUAAUUUACCAUUCAAUCUCUCAUUACAUAUCAAACUCUGUUUCAUUGAAUUUUCUUUAUGUUACGUUUCUAUUGGUUCUUGAAAGUAUUCAAGAAUGCGUUCAAUGUAAACAAACUGGUUCAGUGAACUGCAAACGCAUAAAAAUGUCGAUUGGUUUCUUGUUUUUUGGUCAUAUGUACAUGUAAAUAUUAGAGAGUAGUAUCAAAAUAUACGAGAAUAUCUAUUUUCGUCCACCUGCCUAAAAUCAACAGUUCGGUGCUGAUUUGGUACCUCAACUAUUAAUAGACAACUUAUAAUAGCAAUAUAGAUUAAUCUAUUUAAUUCAAAAGCCAAAACCAAAUUAACAACGACAAAUGAAAAGAAAUCUUACCAUCUUUUUAUAAAAAGAUGAAAGAUCUCUCCAUCUUUCUAUUCCUUUUUAGCCUAUGCAUAAUUGGUUAUGUACAUGGCCAUGGAGUGAGGAUUUCGAACGAACUCAAAUUCCAGAAAGAUCUUAAUAUGAGUUGCUUCUCCGCAGACGACAGGAUAAAAGAGAGAACAUUAAAACCAGGAACUCAUUGGGAAUUCAAUUUUGGUUUGAAUGUUGUGGGGAACACGCGUUAUAUGUGCACUUUGAAACAAGGGCCUGGAUUUAAACACCAUCAGAGCUUCAGAGCAUUUAAAAGACGUGGUUUAUGGGAUUGGAGAGCCAGAGAAGAUGGCAUCUAUUUGACGAGAAAAAAUACAGAAGCCCCACAUAAAGAGUAUGAAUGGAUAUACUAGUUAGUCAUCCGAGGAUAGACGUUUUCUUCGAUCUUCAUGCAAGUGGUCUAAAAAAUUUAAAAUGUCAUACGCUAAUAUUAACAUAUCUACGUUUAUUUAUUUUAUCUAUAUAUGAUAAAAUAUAUAACUGUCUAUCAACAGUUCGCAAUAUUUGUAAUUAUUUUUAUUGCAUUUUACAUAAAUUUUUAUAUCAAUA